Molecule: ribosomal RNA, 1335 nt
Filed under: Triticum aestivum (bread wheat)
Lineage: Eukaryota; Viridiplantae; Streptophyta; Magnoliopsida; Poales; Poaceae
Description: partial small subunit ribosomal RNA
Source: RNAcentral
AUGGUCUUGCCUGGAUCCGCCGCGGCCGGCUGGAUGAUGCUGGACCGCUUCAUCUACCACAGGGGCGCGGACGGCGACUGCGACGGCUGGCGCUUCCCGGACGAAUCCACGGCGCCCCUGAGGGCCACUUCGUCCACCUCCAUCGGCGAGCCCUUCGACGUCGCCAUCCUCCACGCCGAGCCCCCUGCAGUCUCCCGCCUCUACCUGCGGUGGCCCGGCGGCACCAACACAAGGGGCGCCGAGCUGGCUGCCGCACACCGCGACCUCCUUCUCUUCCGGUUCGUCUACGUUGACCUCCACGUCACGUUUGACAACUUCGUUUGCGUGGCAUCCUCAGAUCCUGUGCCGCACAUCGAGUUCAAACGCCUUCCCCUUUGCACCAUACCAAUGGUCUUGCCUCCGUUUUUCGAGGAAGACACGGAGGAAAUCACUACACCUCGACACUUUUUGCCCAACACUCUAGGGCUCGUUCGUGGAUCAUCCCCUGGCCAUGAAGAUGAGUUUGUCGUGGCACAGCUGGCUAGUAUCACUAAGAUACCAGGCCCAGACGACAUGAUGGAAGCUGAAGUGUGCAUGAUCCGCUCUCGUGUAUCAGCUACGGAUGAUGAUGGCACAUGGGAGCUUCAUAAGAUACCCAUCCAGCACAAGGAGCAUCAAUACUUGAGACUCGUCGAUUGGUCGACUUGCGCUGUCACCACGUUCAACAACCGUAUUUGCUGGAUUUCCUACUACACAGGAGGUAUUCUAUUUUAUGAUGUAUUCGCAGAAACGCCUACCAUCUCUUAUCUAGGGUUACCUACCCAUCACCGCCCUCGAUACCGAGAAAGAGGUUUCCUUGAGGUGAACCGCAGCAUAUGUGUCACUGGUGGGGGUGAUCUUCUCAAGUAUACUUCUGUUGUUCGCACCGAUGGUCGGCUCUGUGGCCCACUUGAACAUCGCCAGGGUUACAACAUUAUCACUGAUGUUUUGAAGGCAACGGAGAGUGUUGACAUGGAGUGGGACCGGGUUACGUUUGUGACAGCUUAUGAAUUCUGGCGUCACAACACCUCUGAACUUCUCCUGCGCGAUGCUGUCCCCGAGUACCCUCUUGUCAGCAUGGACGACCCUAGCAUUAUACACUUUUUGCUGUCUGAGGAAAGAGAGAAGAUUAACAAGGUUUCGGUUGUUAUGAUGGAUAUGGUUACCAACAAAAUGAUUUCAGUUGUUCCAUAUAUUAAAGGAGAGGAAGACCUCGAUGGCGAAGAUGCCGACAUGGUCAGAGAAAAAUCACACCUUCUCAAGUCCUUCCUUACAUCCGAGUUCCCCAAGUUUCUUAAUCUCACAAGGGAUUGCUGA